UACAGAGGUCUCAAGCGUUGUUCGGAUUCAUUGGGCGUAAAGGGCGUGUAGGCGGUUUGUUAAGUCAUGUGUGAAAUCCCUCGGCUCAACCGGGGAACGACGCAUGAAACUGGCAAGCUAGAGUACCAAAGAGGGUGGUGGAAUUCCCGGUGUAGCGGUGGAAUGCGCAGAUAUCAGGAGGAACACCGGUGGCGAAGGCGGGUCUCUGGGCAGUAACUGACGCUGAGGAGCGAAAGCGUGGGGAGCGAACGGG
This 253-nucleotide ribosomal RNA is filed under the name uncultured bacterium. RNAcentral's name for it is "partial 16S ribosomal RNA". It matches the Rfam family "Bacterial small subunit ribosomal RNA", at positions 524 to 776 of the family's 1533-position model. The record is from RNAcentral.